RNAcentral lists this ribosomal RNA (253 nucleotides) under uncultured prokaryote. RNAcentral's name for it is "partial 16S ribosomal RNA". It matches the Rfam family "Bacterial small subunit ribosomal RNA", at positions 524 to 776 of the family's 1533-position model. The record is from RNAcentral.
UACAGAGGUCCCGAGCGUUGUUCGGAUUCAUUGGGCGUAAAGGGUGCGUAGGUGGCAUGGCAAGUCGGGUGUGAAAUCCCGGAGCUCAACUCCGGAACUGCACUCGAUACUGCCGUGCUGGAGUACUGGAGAGGAGACUGGAAUUUACGGUGUAGCAGUGAAAUGCGUAGAUAUCGUAAGGAAGACCGGUGGCGAAAGCUAGUCUCUGGACAGUUACUGACGCUGAGGCACGAAGGCCAGGGGAGCAAACGGG